GCACCGGGACCGCCUCGACGAUCCGGGGAACCACCGAAGUAGCACCUGGGGUGAAUCCGCGUUCCGCGGUAGGGCCUUCUUCCCGCCCGAAUCCGUCAGCUAACCCGGUAGGCGGCACAGCGGAAGAAA
This 129-nucleotide small RNA is filed under the name Couchioplanes caeruleus subsp. caeruleus. RNAcentral describes it as "c-di-AMP riboswitch aptamer (ydaO/yuaA leader)". It matches the Rfam family "c-di-AMP riboswitch aptamer (ydaO/yuaA leader)". Rfam says of the family: This family represents a conserved RNA structure found upstream of the ydaO and yuaA genes in Bacillus subtilis and related genes in other bacteria. The ydaO/yuaA element is thought to act as a genetic "off" switch for the ydaO and yuaA genes in its native state. It is believed that the element may be triggered during osmotic shock leading to activation of ydaO, a predicted amino acid transporter gene, and members of the yuaA-yubG operon which code for KtrA and KtrB K+ transporters. Lineage: Bacteria; Bacillati; Actinomycetota; Actinomycetes; Micromonosporales; Micromonosporaceae. The record is from Rfam by way of RNAcentral. RNAcentral also lists the same sequence under 1 other name.